This 1153-nucleotide ribosomal RNA is filed under the name uncultured bacterium. Its description in RNAcentral is "bacterial SSU rRNA". It matches the Rfam family "Bacterial small subunit ribosomal RNA", at positions 8 to 1155 of the family's 1533-position model. The record is from RNAcentral.
AGAGUUUGAUCCUGGCUCAGAUUGAACGCUGGCGGUAUGCUUUACACAUGCAAGUCGAACGGAUUAAAGAGCUUGCUCUUUAGUUAGUGGCGAACGGGUGAGUAAUAUAUCGGAACAUAUCCGGAAGUGGGGGAUAACGUAGCGAAAGUUACGCUAAUACCGCAUAUGCCCUGAGGGGGAAAGGGGGGGAUCGCAAGACCUCUCGCUUUCGGAGUGGCCGAUAUCGGAUUAGCUAGUAGGUGAGGUAAAGGCUCACCUAGGCGACGAUCCGUAGCUGGUCUGAGAGGACGACCAGCCACACUGGAACUGAGGCACGGUCCAGACUCCUACGGGAGGCAGCAGUGGGGAAUUUUGGACAAUGGGCGAAAGCCUGAUCCAGCCAUACCGCGUGAGUGAAGAAGGCCUUCGGGUUGUAAAGCUCUUUCAGCCGGAAAGAAAUUGCUUCUAUUAAUACUAGGAGUAGAUGACGGUACCGGAAGAAGAAGCACCGGCUAACUACGUGCCAGCAGCCGCGGUAAUACGUAGGGUGCGAGCGUUAAUCGGAAUUACUGGGCGUAAAGCGUGCGCAGGCGGUUUUUUAAGUCAGAUGUGAAAUCCCCGGGCUCAACCUGGGAACUGCAUUUGAAACUGGAAGACUAGAGUAUAGCAGAGGGGGGUAGAAUUCCACGUGUAGCAGUGAAAUGCGUAGAUAUGUGGAGGAAUACCAAUGGCGAAGGCAGCCCCCUGGGUUAAUACUGACGCUCAUGCACGAAAGCGUGGGGAGCAAACAGGAUUAGAUACCCUGGUAGUCCACGCCCUAAACGAUGUCAACUAGGUGUUGGGGGGAGGAGACUUCCUUAGUACCGUAGCUAACGCGUGAAGUUGACCGCCUGGGGGAGUACGGUCGCAAGAUUAAAACUCAAAGGAAUUGACGGGGACCCGCACAAGCGGUGGAUUAUGUGGAUUAAUUCGAUGCAACGCGAAAAACCUUACCUACCCUUGACAUGUCAGAAAGAUCGCAGAGAUGUGAUUGUGCUCGAAAGAAAAUCUGAACACAGGUGCUGCAUGGCUGUCGUCAGCUCGUGUCGUGGAAAUGUUGGGUUAAUUCCCGCAACGAGCGCAACCCUUGUCAUUAAUUGCCAUCUUUUAUUUGGGCCUUUAAUGAGACUGCCGG